AUUGAACGCUGGCGGCAUGCCUUACACAUGCAAGUCGAACGGCAGCACGGGAGCAAUCCUGGUGGCGAGUGGCGAACGGGUGAGUAAUAUAUCGGAACGUGCCCAGUCGUGGGGGAUAACGCAGCGAAAGUUGUGCUAAUACCGCAUACGAUCUACGGAUGAAAGCGGGGGAUCGCAAGACCUCGCGCGAUUGGAGCGGCCGAUAUCAGAUUAGCUAGUUGGUGGGGUAAAAGCUCACCAAGGCGACGAUCUGUAGCUGGUCUGAGAGGACGACCAGCCACACUGGAACUGAGACACGGUCCAGACUCCUACGGGAGGCAGCAGUGGGGAAUUUUGGACAAUGGGGGCAACCCUGAUCCAGCCAUGCCGCGUGAGUGAAGAAGGCCUUCGGGUUGUAAAGCUCUUUCGGCCGGGAAGAAAUCGCAUGGGUUAAUACCCUGUGCGGAUGACGGUACCGGCAUAAGAAGCACCGGCUAACUACGUG
Molecule: ribosomal RNA, 484 nt
Filed under: uncultured bacterium
Lineage: Bacteria
Description: bacterial SSU rRNA
Rfam family: Bacterial small subunit ribosomal RNA
Source: RNAcentral